UGAACCCUUGGGCCGCGCACAC
Molecule: non-coding RNA, 22 nt
Filed under: Mus musculus (house mouse)
Lineage: Eukaryota; Metazoa; Chordata; Mammalia; Rodentia; Muridae
Source: RNAcentral